RNAcentral lists this long non-coding RNA (1414 nucleotides) under Coffea arabica (coffee). RNAcentral's name for it is "long non-coding RNA (CARA_LNC001104)". Lineage: Eukaryota; Viridiplantae; Streptophyta; Magnoliopsida; Gentianales; Rubiaceae. The record is from RNAcentral.
GUUAUGCGCGAGAAGUAUCUUGCAGCAGCAACACCCAAGUGAAGCUGAAUCUAGCAGACUUUAAACACCAUCCAGCAUGGUGCCUUCAAUCUUGUCAAACAAAAAAAUGGAUUUUACAUGACAUUAGAAGUGCAACUUAAUUGAUGAAGCAGCACAAUUUCUUGCAUUGUAAGAUAUUUAUGGUCACUGGCUACCUUAAGAACAAGGAAUCCACAACAAAAGUAGUACAUCUAUUUCAAGCAUCUGCAGUUUGUAACUUCUCCUUGGAAUGUUUUAUCCCAUAAAAAAUGUUUCUGCAAUGUCACACAAGUGAAAGAAGGAAAGUUACUUGAGCAAGAUUGCCCCCAAAAUUAUAAAUUUUAGAAAAGUUCUUUUUAUAUGUAGCACGAGGUUAAAACUCAUCAACGCCAUGGUAAUGCAUUAUAAGCUUUAAGCAAAACAAAUUUGACACAUCUUGUGAUAAUCAAAGGACAUGAAUAAACACAUCUUACUUUUUUUUUUUUGAAUUUUCGCAACUUCUUUUAAAAUUAUACAUCAUCUUACAUGUUCUGAAUCACUUAUUAAAUGUUGUUAUUUCUGGAAUUGGUUAAGCGAAAUCCCAGCUAACCACUUUGUCAGUCACUUUAAUAAAGCAGGGGAUUUAAUUGAACAUAAGGAAAGAAGAAAAGUGCAGUAACACUUCCAAUAAGGGCACCAUAUCAAUUUCCAAAAGACAAAAGUAAAAAGACUAUAAUUCAGAGUACAGAAUAAUUGCAUUGGAACACCCUCAGUUAACCUUUUCUGAAAUGGCAUUAACCAAACAUGCAUCAAGAUAGUAUGAACUUAGACAAAAGCAAAUAAUCAUCUGCAACAGCAAAACAAUGCAUCUGAGCUUCUUCAUUUUCCCAACAUACAAAUUAGAAAACAAAAGCCUAGUGCUCAUCUUGUUUGUACGCAGCAUUUGAAUUGCAAAAAAUACUGCUGUCCAUUCUACAUUUGCCUGCCCCUAGUAUUAUGCCAGGCUGCAAUCAUGUUGUGGAUUAUUUUCAAUUUUAGCCAGAGGAAAAACAAACAAAAUACAUGUCCUUUUGUCAUACUAGUUGUGGGAUAUUAUGCCAGUUAUUUCUACUAUGACAGGCACUGCAAUGGGUGCAUUGGAUUCUUCCACCUAUAAUAAGAAGCUCUAAAAAGUAGACAGUAAGGUCUUUUGUCAGGAUCUUUUCUUUAGCUAUGGAUUACCAUUAUUUUGUAGUCUUUCUUCAUGGAGAAGUCAAGAAUUGAACUCAUGAUCUCCAGAACAUGGAGCAUGCAUUGAUUCCUUGGGCUAUCAACCUCUUUUCCACGAGGACAGACUUUGCCGCCACUAAUAACAGCAACAGGGGCUAAAAUUAGUCAUUGGCACUUUCUGAGAAGGGGCACAAAAGUUAUCCACCAC